Molecule: ribosomal RNA, 233 nt
Filed under: uncultured bacterium
Lineage: Bacteria
Description: partial 16S ribosomal RNA
Rfam family: Bacterial small subunit ribosomal RNA
Source: RNAcentral
UCCACGCCGUAAACGAUGAGAACUAGAUGUCGGGAGGAUUACCUUUCGGUGUCGCAGCUAACGCAUUAAGUUCUCCGCCUGGGGAGUACGGUGGCAACACUAAAACUCAAAGGAAUUGACGGGGACCCGCACAAGCGGUGGAGCAUGUGGUUUAAUUCGAUGCAACGCGAAGAACCUUACCUACCCUUGACAUGUAGUGAACUUACCAGAGAUGGUUUGGUGCCUUCGGGAAC